GACGGGACCGCACAAGCAGCGGAGCGUGUGGUUUAAUUCGUUGCUACACGAAGAACCUUACCUGGGUUUGACAUAUAGGUUGUAGGGAACUGAAAAGGGACCGACCCUUCGGGGAGCCUAUACAGGUGUUGCAUGGCUGUCGUCAGCUCGUGUCGUGAGAUGUUCGGUUAAGUCCGCUAACGAGCGCAACCCUCGUCGUAUGUUAUAUGUGUCAUACGAGACUGCCGGUAAAAGCCGGAGGAAGGUGAGGAUGAUGUCAAGUCAGCAUGACCUUUAUAUCCAGGGCUACACACACGCUACAAUGGUCUGUACAAUGGGUAGCCAAGCCGCGAGGCGGAGCCAAUCCUGAAAGCAGGCCUCAGUUCAGAUUGCAGUCUGCAACUCGACUGCAUGAAGCCGGAGUUGCUAGUAACCGCAGGUCAGCAAUACUGCGGUGAAUACGUUCCCGGGUCUU
Molecule: ribosomal RNA, 454 nt
Filed under: uncultured Anaerolineaceae bacterium
Lineage: Bacteria; Bacillati; Chloroflexota; Anaerolineae; Anaerolineales; Anaerolineaceae
Description: bacterial SSU rRNA
Rfam family: Bacterial small subunit ribosomal RNA
Source: RNAcentral